RNAcentral lists this ribosomal RNA (255 nucleotides) under uncultured bacterium. Its description in RNAcentral is "partial 16S ribosomal RNA". It matches the Rfam family "Bacterial small subunit ribosomal RNA", at positions 524 to 776 of the family's 1533-position model. The record is from RNAcentral.
GACGAACCGUGCGAACGUUUAUUCGGAAUCACUGGGCUUAAAGCGCGUGUAGGCGGGCCGCCACGUCGGCUGCUGAAAUCCCCCGGCUCAACCGGGGAAGUGGCACCGAUACGAGCGGCCUCGAGGGGGGUAGGGGGGUCUGGAACUUCCGGUGGAGCGGUGAAAUGCGUUGAGAUCGGAAGGAACGCCCGUGGCGAAAGCGAGGCCCUGGACCCUUACUGACGCUGAGACGCGAAAGCCAGGGGAGCGAACGGG